AUUGAACGCUGGCGGAAUGCUUUACACAUGCAAGUCGAACGGCAGCACGGACUUCGGUCUGGUGGCGAGUGGCGAACGGGUGAGUAAUGUAUCGGAACGUGCCCAGUCGUGGGGGAUAACGUAGUGAAAAUUACGCUAAUACCGCAUACGAGCGAUGGAUGAAAGCGGGGGAUCGCAAGACCUCGAGCGAUUGGAGCGGCCGAUAUCAGAUUAGGUAGUUGGUGGGGUAAAGGCCCACCAAGCCAACGAUCUGUAGCUGGUCUGAGAGGACGACCAGCCACACUGGAACUGAGACACGGUCCAGACUCCUACGGGAGGCAGCAGUGGGGAAUUUUGGACAAUGGGCGAAAGCCUGAUCCAGCCAGUCCGCGUGCAGGAUGAAGGCCCUCGGGUUGUAAACUGCUUUUGUACAGAACGAAAAGGUUUCUACUAAUACUAGGAGCUCAUGACGGUACUGUAAGAAUAAGCACCGGCUAACUACGUGCCAGCCGCCGCCGUAA
Molecule: ribosomal RNA, 500 nt
Filed under: uncultured bacterium
Lineage: Bacteria
Description: partial 16S ribosomal RNA
Rfam family: Bacterial small subunit ribosomal RNA
Source: RNAcentral